RNAcentral lists this transfer RNA (44 nucleotides) under Dinematichthys iluocoeteoides (yellow cuskeel). RNAcentral describes it as "partial tRNA-Leu". The record is from RNAcentral. Lineage: Eukaryota; Metazoa; Chordata; Actinopteri; Ophidiiformes; Bythitidae.
CCCAGCUUCUGAAGGAUAACAGCUCAUCCGUUGGUCUUAGGAAC